AACGAACGCUGGCGGCAUGCCUAACACAUGCAAGUCGAACGAGACCUUCGGGUCUAGUGGCGCACGGGUGCGUAACGCGUGGGAACCUGCCUUUAGGUUCGGAAUAACUCAGAGAAAUUUGGGCUAAUACCGGAUGAUGUCUUCGGACCAAAGAUUUAUCGCCUUUAGAUGGGCCCGCGUUGGAUUAGCUAGUUGGUGGGGUAAAGGCCUACCAAGGGGACGAUCCAUAGCUGGUCUGAGAGGAGGGUCAGCCACACUUGGACUGAGACACGGCCCAGACUCCUACGGGAGGCAGCAGUGGGUAAUAUUGGACCAUGGGCGAAAGGCUGAUCCAGCAAGGCCGCGUGAGUGAUGAAGGCCUUAGGGUUGUAAAGCGCUUUUACCCGAGAUGAUAAUGACGGUAUCGGGAGAAUAAGCUCCGGCUAACUCCGUG
RNAcentral lists this ribosomal RNA (433 nucleotides) under uncultured bacterium. RNAcentral describes it as "partial 16S ribosomal RNA". It matches the Rfam family "Bacterial small subunit ribosomal RNA", at positions 29 to 507 of the family's 1533-position model. The record is from RNAcentral.